This is a long non-coding RNA of Podarcis raffonei (Aeolian wall lizard), 2544 nucleotides long. RefSeq lists it as uncharacterized. The record is from RefSeq and is a predicted model, not a curated record. NCBI's taxonomy places the organism in Eukaryota, Metazoa, Chordata, Lepidosauria, Squamata, Lacertidae. The transcript has 3 exons.
AGAUUUUGGGAACAGUUUCCAAUGAGUUAUUUAAAAGUAUUUUCCUGUAUAGUCAUCACUUGAAUGGAAAAAGGCAUUAUUCAUGUUGAAUUAGGACUGAACUCAAACAUUAUUAUUUUUUUGCAGAUAUUUCUGGCUGUGGCAAAACUUAAACUCCUUUCACUAGUUCUUUUGCCAUCCAUUAUGCACAGAGUAAAAUUGUAUAAUUGGUAAAAUAUAAUGAUAAUCUGGAAAUUAGGAUGUCCAGAUUGGGGAAGGUGGAAUAUGGGAAACCUAACUAAGGCUGCUGUGCAAAUCAGGUGACCACCAGAUGAUUGAAAUGCUUGAAAUCUGCAACAUGGUGAUUUCUCCCCACCCAUCCACACAGUAUGAGCUUGGGAUUUUAAUAUUCAAAUAAGGCAGACAGCAGAGGACUGGUCUACUAGUACCCAAUGCAUUUGCAGGUUCUUCUCCAGGUCCUAGGUUUCCCAGACACCAUCUGUUACAUUCUCUUCUGUUCAUUCUUUCUGAUGAUACUUGUAGAGUAGUUUAGGAAAAGGAAGCGUUCAGCCAACAGCUGCAUUCACUUGUAGACAUCUGGAACUUUAUUACAGAGGAUGGUAGAACGUGACCAGGUGGCGCCUGUGAUCGCCAAUAGCUUGUCAAUGCUCUGAUCUCCAGAAACCUGCAUCCCAUAUGUGCCUUCCAAUGCAAGUGCAGCAAUAAGAGAAACCGUGGCUCAUACAGACCAGGUUUUUGGUUUUUUUAAAAAAGCAUCUAGCAUGUUUUAAUCUAUUGGCAUAGCAUAAAGGCAUCACUGCAUGCAAGCCAUGUUGCUAUUAACAGAAAGAAUCCCGCUUCACUUUUAGAACAUUUGAUCUUAGAAGUCCCCUAGAGAUAAAAAGACUUAUUCAGCACAAGUGAUUGAAGGAUGCUUCCCAUUUAAGAAGCAGAAAAUUCUCUGGUUUUCCUGUAGUUUGUCCCAUAUUUAAAACUUUUGCAAAGUGUUGUUGUUUUUUAAAUGCAUGACAUCUGCUUUGGUUGAAAGCAGUAUUCAUGGCCUGGACUUUGCUUUAUCAUUAUUGAUGUAUCGUUUAACAACAUAGUUUGUAUUUUUUAACAACUUGGGGAAAAGUUGGAGCAAAAGGGGCAGACAGUGUUUUGCAAGCUCUGCUCCUCCAUGGGACAAACAGAACGAGGCAGCAGCAAACAUAUAUGUUAGAAUGGAUCGCAGGAGAUCUUCCAUAAAACUGGUUAAUGAGGGAUGCUUUAACAUGGCUGAGCAGAUGGGGUUCAAGUCCUGAACCUUUCUCCCAGAAGCAACUCAUCCUCAGCUGAUUUUCUCCUAGUGGGGCUUCAAGGCCAGAAGUCACCCCUGUGAGGAGAAAAAUAGGAGAAUAUACAAUAGAGCAGGUAAGAAGGAAGUAGUCACACACAACUUGGCAGUGCAGGGGGUGGGCAACUUGCCACCCUAGGACCACUGUGGCUCAAAAACGCUAUGCAAGUGAUCGUCACAGAGCAAGCCAGGCAUUAAACCACACAGUUCAGAGUUGGAGUUAAUUCUUUAUUAGCAAAAACACGAUCUUCACAGCCUUGGCUGAGUGUCAGGCCUAAUGAGCAGAGAAGCUCAUUCCCUGUGGGACUCAGUUGCCAAGACAAAGGUUCCCUGCCUGUCUAUGUAUCCUCCUCUUCAGGGCUUCCCAAAGGCGAUUGGAGACUGCGCCUGAGUGCAGCCAAUCUCUCCUUGGCCAGAAGAGACAUGAAGACAUGGAGAAGGGCAGCUUGUCUCAGCAGGAAGGGGUGGGGGACACUUGUGACUCUUCCCCAGCCUGACAAUCUCUGCAUCUUUACCACCCUCCUCAAACUUGCCAGCUUCAGCUUCUGAUUCAGGACUGCUCUCUGCCACAGACUCCUGUCGUAUUCAACUUUUAUCCUAGGGUUGGGUUCUCCACCAACAAACCUACAUUCAUGGUCUUCGCAAGGUAGUUAAAGAUAGUAGCAAGAAUAGUUAGGCCUGUGGGACAAAGCAGUGAUGCAUGUCCCGACUUCAUUCGUUGUCCUCCAUGAGAUCUUAAUCGCAUAGAGUGGGAGAGGGAGGUCCUGCAUGCUGGGUUGAGAGGACCAUGUUGCACAUGUCUAGAAUUCCCUUGAGAUGUGGAAUUCUGAUUGCACUGAGCUCCACAUCACUGGGAAAGACUCUCUGCACACAGCAAACUCCCUUCUACAGAUGUGGUAUGGCCAACCUGUGGACAGCAGGGGGCAGGGCCAGCGGGACAAAUCCCAUUUAUAAAUGUUUAUGGUUCUGUGAAGGAUAACACACGAAGGGGCACAGAACCCCAGGACAAAUAGGGAGAGGAGCUUGUGGCCCUUCAGAUGUUACAGGACUUCAGCUCCCAUUGACAAUGGUCAGGAGCGAUAUUGGAUACAAUAUACAAAUUUCAUCAUGGGAAAAGUUAUGGAGGGAAGAUUUAAAAUUUACUGCAUGCUGUACGUUGAAGGAGAAUUAUAUGAAAAUGAUGUUUCAUUUGGUACCUAACUCCUACCAAAAUAGCAAAAAUGUAUAGA